RNAcentral lists this ribosomal RNA (476 nucleotides) under uncultured bacterium. RNAcentral's name for it is "partial 16S ribosomal RNA". It matches the Rfam family "Bacterial small subunit ribosomal RNA", at positions 30 to 507 of the family's 1533-position model. The record is from RNAcentral.
AUUGAACGCUGGCGGCAUGCCUUACACAUGCAAGUCGAACGGUAACAGGUUAAGCUGACGAGUGGCGAACGGGUGAGUAAUGUAUCGGAACGUGCCCAGUCGUGGGGGAUAACUGCUCGAAAGAGCAGCUAAUACCGCAUACGACCGAGGGUGGAAGCGGGGGAUUGGAAGACCCCGCGCCAUUUGAACCGCCGAUAUCAGAUUAGGUAGUUGGUGAGGUAAAGGCUCACCAAGCCGACGAUCUGUAGCUGGUCUGAGAGGACGACCAGCCACACUGGGACUGAGACACGGCCCAGACUCCUACGGGAGGCAGCAGUGGGGAAUUUUGGACAAUGGGCGCAAGCCUGAUCCAGCCAUGCCGCGUGCGGGAAGAAGGCCUUCGGGUUGUAAACCGCUUUUGUCAGGGAAGAAAAGGUUCUGGCUAAUACCUGGGACUCAUGACGGUACCUGAAGAAUAAGCACCGGCUAACUACGUG